GGCCCUGAACCAACGUCAAGAGAAGUCCUUCCAUUGACACAGGGCUUUGAGCAAGCUUAGCAGCAGCACCUUUGCCAGUGUUUAAAAAGAGACUCACUUUUACCAGCUCUUCCUUGCCAUCAAUCUUAAGAAACCUGGACUCUUGAGAGGAGCAAAAGGAGUUGGAUCUUUGCCAAGAGAUGCUUUCAUCGGAAAAGAGAUGCUGCGGAGUCUCUGAGGCAUUUGCAUUCUGGGCUUGGCAAAUGUUCAACUGCUAGUUUUAAGCAGCCGGGCAGACUGAGAUGAGCAGUAGGAUUGACACUGUUCCCAAGUUCUGUUUGCAGCGGCAAAGAGGGACAGGGGAAACGCUGAGCUGGAUGGGCUGAGAAGCAAGGUCGGGAGGGCUCUCCAUCCCCACCCCACCCCACCCCACAGCUGGCCAGUGAGAUCUCCUUCAACCACCUACAGGGGAACUCCCAUCCUAAGCCUAAGCUCUUUGGGACAGAAGGACUCUCCUGUAUGGAUCUGUAUCUGCCUGGUGGGGACAGCGGCUCCUUCUCCUCCUCCAUUUACCUCUGUUGCUCGGCAGCU
This is a long non-coding RNA of Chelonia mydas (Green sea turtle), 570 nucleotides long. RefSeq lists it as uncharacterized. Lineage: Eukaryota; Metazoa; Chordata; Testudines; Cheloniidae. The record is from RefSeq and is a predicted model, not a curated record. The transcript has 5 exons.